CUCUAUUUAAGCUUCUUACCUUCCUUGGAUCUGGAUGUGAUCCUGGGACAGCUCCCUCCAUACAUACAUUAGGAUGGAGCCUAUGUGUCUUCCGGUCGUCUCCUCCCCCCUAUGGUCCACACUUGUGACUCCUUGUAAGCCCGGUUUGGUGGGUUCCCGUCAAGCGGAACGGGGGUUUCUCUUGCUAUGGGGGUCUUCGGAUCAUUUUUACUUCUCAGCAAUCAUCUCUGAUUACAUAUUAAUUCAUUAACCCUUGAGUGAGUACAAUUCCCCUGAAGAAGACCGUGACAGUUUAGGUCGAAACGCGUCGGGGUACUCAUAUGGAAACAAUUGAAUCAUGAUGUAACGUG
Rana temporaria (common frog) is the source of this 350-nucleotide long non-coding RNA. RefSeq lists it as uncharacterized. NCBI's taxonomy places the organism in Eukaryota, Metazoa, Chordata, Amphibia, Anura, Ranidae. The transcript has 3 exons. The record is from RefSeq and is a predicted model, not a curated record.